This is a long non-coding RNA of Brachypodium distachyon (stiff brome), 3721 nucleotides long. RefSeq lists it as uncharacterized. The record is from RefSeq and is a predicted model, not a curated record. Lineage: Eukaryota; Viridiplantae; Streptophyta; Magnoliopsida; Poales; Poaceae. The transcript has 3 exons.
CGCACGCAGCCAUAUCCCAAAAGGAGGUACGGAGUAGAAGAAACAAGAUGAGUCUUUGCAUUUCCAUGCAUGCCGCCGAACUGCCGAAGCAUCAGCUCAUUUACGUGCAACUAGGCAAGAUCGCAGAUGCUAACAAGUACCGACACACCUCAGAUUUCCAAUAAAUGACGAGCGAGAGAGAGAGAAAGCAUAAAGCCCGGGGUUAAGUGCUGUGAGUGACAGCGGCGCUGAAUUUGGCAGCGCUAGAGGGUCAAGGUCGCUGCCCGUUAAAGGCAAACUACGCGCCUAGGCGAACGGGCGCCGUAGAGAGCAAAAUGUUCUCCCACCCUAGGUUGGCCGCGGAUCAGAUCGGCCGCCGCGGCGACGACGAAGGCGACGGCGACACGCGGCCACGGGGAAUCCGGAUUCCUGCCUAGAACAAAAAGGAGAGCAAAAGGAAGAGGAUUAUAUUCCCUUAUCUCGUAAGCCUCGAGUUAGUGUGCUCGUGAUUCUGAUUAGCAGAAAAGAGACAUGGAAACAGGGGGGCCAAGAACACGAGAAAUUCCCGCGGGAUCUCGUGCCGUAUAGCUUAAUCGGAUGAUGUUGACACGCUCCUCCCUUUCCUUUGAUCACACCCUCAGGGAUUAAGUCCAUGGAGAGGAGAAUUACGUAUGCCGGCUGCUGUAAUUCCUAGUAGUGAUUCACACUAAAACAAGUGGGAGGUGAUGAAUCAGGGGACCAUACCUAACGACAUCCGCAGCUUGUGAUAAAGAAAUGGGAAUUCAGAAAUAUUCCCUUGAGAAAUGUUCCUUGUGAGAAAUAAAUGAGGCCACGUUGCAGUGUGAGCAUCUAGUGCUUUUGUUAUUAACGAUUCCUGCAAAUUUCAUGUGUUUCAGACAGCAUUGCUCAUUAGGGAUGAAAUACUUCACAUCAUCCUGAUUACUUCUGCAUCAGCUAAAACUUUACCUCAGACCACGUGUCAAAAAAAAAAAGCUUUACCUCAAACCGACAUGGUUCUGAGUCUUACUGAGAUAUGUGAAACAGUAAUGUUUUCCAAGACAUGUAGCAUAUCGUAAAAUUACCAUGUAUACAAUAGGUUUGAAAUGCACAUAGGAUGAUCUUUUUUUAGAACCAUUCACAUAGCAUGUUCUGACAAGAAUGCCUCUUAUAUAUGGGGUUCCAAUGGCAAGUUCACUAAUCACUCCUGCAAAAUAAUUUCAUAAUGCUUAGGUAUUACAGUACCUUCUGAACAGAUGGAUUUUGAACCACUGUAUUCAGGAGACUUUUUUUUAUAACCACUGUAUUCAUGAGACUCAUUUACCUAACCAUCCAUGAAAGGAACCUGAAACAAAAUCGACUAAACAAUAUUUGUGCAAAAUUUCGCAUGCUGUUCCCAGUAGCUGAUAAACAGUGUUAACCUUUGGGUAAAGACAACUGUUGAUAUUUCAUUCGUGCAGCCUAGAUUUCAGAAUAUAUUCUUUUAAUAUUUUUUUGCGGAUGCUUCACGUUUCAUAGGAAGAGCAUACACAAUUAUAAGAAAUAUAUACUAAAUAAGAAUAUGCAGGCCUCAAAGCCCUAUGAUCUCUAGCAAGGAGCAAAGUUUAUGUAUAAAACCUUGUAUCUAUGACAAAACUUCAUAGCCCCUAUGCAGCCUCUUUCUCUCGAGCGAAGUAGCGACAAAAAACACACUUAGCCCACAUAAUUUAGCCUGAGCUGUCCCCCCACAUGUUAACCCCAGUGGAUAGAAAAAUGCAGAGCUAGUGCAUAUGAUUCCUUAAGUAUGUAGUGCAAUGACACAAGAAAAAAAUUAGGUGAAAAUCCUUUGGAUUAUUCUGCUAUCACAAGCUCUUAGGGGUUAGUUUAGAUUUGACUUAGGCCUUUCUUUAAUCCCUUUUAAUAUGCAUCGUCGAGAGGGGAUCGAAGCCUACCACUAUUCGGAAUUCUGAAAUCUACCCUGCACCAUUGGGAAAAGUGGAAUCCCUUUUUUGGCAAGCAGAACGCAAGAAUAGCAGAGUUUGUUAUGAAAAGCUCACCUCAAAGGGGGAAAAAGGAUGCUGCUGAGGAAUAUUUCUGCCCAUGUCGAUGUAAACAUGACGAGAUUUAUAACAGAGAUAUAAGUACCACAAACUAAAAGCAGCAAAAGUUUCUUCGAGACGGUUCCUUCAGUUUCUCUCAAUGCACAGUUUUACAGGAAAGUGUUACUGUCCGUUAUCGCUGACCUGCACUACAAGUCUACAUGCUCAUGUUGAGCAGUUCAGUUUGCUGUAGGGCAGUAUCAAUACCUUCAUGAACAAUGCCUCUAUGUUUAUGGUGCAUCUGGACCUGCAAUUUUACCAAGUUGGGCUGAUAUCUGUGUGUCAUUGUGGACACCUAACAGAUAUAUCUGGAAUCUUUCUUUGCUGCAGUCUGCAGAAUUCUCCACUGUAUCUGCCUAGCGAAUGAAACAGUAGCACUUGCCAUACAGAGCUCUGAAGUUUCAGUUUCCUGUUGAAUGGCAUCUUAAACUGUUCCGAAAGUCGAUAAUUCAUUCAUAGUUUUUGGAAAAUGCUUUUCAACUAAGUAUUCCCAUGGUUCAAAAACAAAAACUCCUGCAAGACAAGGUCCUGACUGUUUUUCCCCUGUUCUGCUAAAUACAGGCUGUUUUUUUCAGAAGAAUACUUCUAUGCUUAGUUUUAGAUCAAAAUAGUUAUAUGCUUAUUGUCAUUCGAAUCAAAAGAGUUUCAGUUCUGUGCCAACUUGUCUGAAAUUUAAUGUAAGUACUCUAUUCUUGGAGUUACGGUUCAGUGUCAAACUGCGUCUUAAAUUCUACCGGGAAUACUGAUAGAGUUUCAGUUUGGUGUUGAACUGCCCCUUAAGCUGCAAGGAGAAUACUGGUAUACUACAUGUUUAAAGAGAAUGUUGCGCUAUCAUUUUUCAUGUUCUCAGAUCAAAUAAUCCUUACCUGCUAUCAUCUCAAAGGUAACGGGCCACCACCAGCAAUUGGAAUCUUUAUAGGGUGAAGGUACUGUUAGAGUUUCAGUUCCUUUUCAAAUCACAUCUUAAUUUUUUACUGUCAAGAGUUUCAGCGUGGUGUGGUGUAGGGUAUAUCCUUAGGGCCUAUUAGGAUGAUAGGUAUUUCUGCAAAAAGUUGAAGCAUACUGAAAAUACAAAAGUUCAAUCUCAGAGUUUAAUCGCAGUGUUACAAUAGUAUGAAAAACGACAAGCCACUAAUAGGUGCCAAAUGUUUUGCUUUUUCCUGCUAAAUAUGGGUGUCUCUCAGAAGAACUUUCCCUUAGCACUGAGACAAUGAGAACUUGUUUCUUUAUUUUAUUUUUAUUUUCUAUAGAGAAAGAAAAAAACGAUAGUUAUGCUUAUUCCUUGUCAUUUCGAUAUAAGGUUAUAAAUAAUCGUAAGAGCUGUGAUGCCGAAUUAGUGGGCAUUGGCACCUUAUCAAGCUCACUCUGAUGAAAAAAAAUUGGUUAGGAAUUGGCUAAAAGGGUCCUAAGUAAUAUUUCUAUAUCUGGGUUCGCUCUCCACUGACACUGAUGCAUAUAUUCUCCUGUGUCCAGGGGAAGAAGGAGGACCGUUUAUGAUUCAUCCCAAGUUAGGAUGCAUAAUUCUGAACUCGAUUAUAGUGUAAUGCCUGUGUAUUAUGGAGUAACCAUGGCUUAUAAAUUAAUGUUAUCUACCAUUUCCAUUCAUGUACAUUAAUAUAAAAAAGCACUGAGUUAAGAUAUAAUAAUUUGAUUGGAGCCGUUCAAAA